AUGUGCUACUCGCCUCUCUCGAGCAACUGCGUCGCGUGGUCGUUUUGGUUCGAACGAUUUCACAGUGACAGGAAUUUUUACGAUGCUGUCAAAGUCCUGGCCAUUGGUUCUUCUUUACUCCUUUAUUUUUCCUUUUUGUGCAUGACGGAUGGGCCUCAAAUGUCCUCGGGCCCAUCGUUCUUGUGCAUCCUGUGUGCGUACUGGUUGAGAGAAGGGAGAGAAGUGGGGGUGAAUCGAGCUGCGAGGCGAAAACCUAGCGCCAGCAAUCCCGUGCGUCUUCGAGGAGCCAAUCCAGCCCCGCUUCCCUCCCUCUCCACGGCGCUGCCGGCUCCUCCCCUUUUGCCCUACUCUCCACUGCGCCGCCUCUUCCUCCUCUUCACUAUCCUCUCCAGCGGCGGCAAAGAUCUGCCGACAAAGGGAGAUGACAGCGGCGCUCAAUCGGAUCUGCUGAAGAGAAAGAUGAGAGGGAGAGAGACAAGGAAGGAGAGGAGGGAGAAAGAGAGAGCUAAGCAGAGAGGGAGGUGUGAUGGCGGAUGA
RNAcentral lists this ribosomal RNA (537 nucleotides) under Triticum aestivum (bread wheat). RNAcentral's name for it is "partial small subunit ribosomal RNA". Lineage: Eukaryota; Viridiplantae; Streptophyta; Magnoliopsida; Poales; Poaceae. The record is from RNAcentral.